CCAGACUCCUACGGGAGGCAGCAGUGGGGGAUAUUGCACAAUGGGGGGAACCCUGAUGCAGCGACGCCGCGUGGGUGAAGGAGUAUUUCGGUAUGUAAAGCCCUAUCGGCAGGGAAGAAGCAAGACGGUACCUGACUAAGAAGCCCCGGCUAACUACGUGCCAGCAGCCGCGGUAAUACGUAGGGGGCAAGCGUUAUCCGGAUUUACUGGGUGUAAAGGGAGCGUAGACGGCGGCGCAAGUCCGGAGUGAAAGCCCGCGGCCCAACCGUGGGACUGCUCUGGAAACUGUGCGGCUUGAGUGCGGGAGGGGCAGGCGGAAUUCCUAGUGUAGCGGUGAAAUGCGUAGAUAUUAGGAGGAACCCCAGUGGCGAAGGCGGCCUGCUGGACGACAACUGACGGUGAGGCGCGAAAGCGUGGGGAGCAAACAGGAUUAGAUACCCGGGUAC
Molecule: ribosomal RNA, 446 nt
Filed under: uncultured bacterium
Lineage: Bacteria
Description: partial 16S ribosomal RNA
Rfam family: Bacterial small subunit ribosomal RNA
Source: RNAcentral